Podarcis lilfordi (Lilford's wall lizard) is the source of this 70-nucleotide non-coding RNA. The record is from the annotation of a GenBank genome assembly. NCBI's taxonomy places the organism in Eukaryota, Metazoa, Chordata, Lepidosauria, Squamata, Lacertidae.
GCAUAGCUCAGUUGAUUAGAGUGUGGUGCUGAUAAUGCCAAGAUCAUGGGUUUGAUCCCCCAGGGGUGCA